ACAAGCUGUCUAUUUUCUCUUUUGGUAUAAUUGCCUAUAUAUAACUCUCAAAAUUUCGAAAAUAUUUUAUUUAUUCUUACUUUUUUUUUCCAAUAUACUUCUUAUAUGUUUCUCCGUUAUUCCAAAAUAUCCCUGUCGUUACCAGCCGUUAAGUUAACUUGGAUUAAACGUGAGUUAAAUAUCUACCACAAUUAAAAAAAAUUAAAAUAUCACUUUUGCCCUUAACUUAAGGGCGAAUAAGAAAUAUUGGUGAUGGUAGAAGGGUAUAUUUGAAAAGACCAAAAAGAUAAAAUAUUUUUUGUGCCCUAAUUUAAGAGCAAAUAAGAAAAGUCAGUGAUGGUAGAAACUUAGAAGAUUAUAUUUGAAAGGGCAAAAUAGUAAUUUUAUAAAGAUAACAGAGUUCAUUAAUAGAUUUUAACUUAAGGGUAUAUUUGAAAUAGAUUGGAACGUAAAAAGGGCAUUUUUAAUAUUAGACUUUUCAGAAAGGUAAAUUUGAAAGUCGAAAACUUUUCAGGGGUAUAUAAGCAAUUGCCCUUUGUUUUUUUAUUUUUAUUAUUUUUUUAUUUUUUAUGAAUAAACUCAAUUAAAAGCAUAAAACAAUUAGAUUUCAAAUUUUAAAUUUUAAAUUCUAACUAUCAAGUUUUUAGUCAAGCACUAG
This 658-nucleotide long non-coding RNA is filed under the name Ananas comosus (pineapple). Its description in RNAcentral is "long non-coding RNA (ACOM_LNC008093)". Lineage: Eukaryota; Viridiplantae; Streptophyta; Magnoliopsida; Poales; Bromeliaceae. The record is from RNAcentral.